AGUUAAGCUCUUCAGCGCCGAUGGUAGUUGGGUUCGCCCCUGCGAGAGUAGGACGCUGCCAGGC
RNAcentral lists this ribosomal RNA (64 nucleotides) under Terribacillus halophilus. Lineage: Bacteria; Bacillati; Bacillota; Bacilli; Caryophanales; Bacillaceae. The record is from RNAcentral.